GAUGAACGCUGGCGGCGUGCCUAAUACAUGCAAGUCGAGCGAACGGACGAGAAUCUUGCUUCUCUGAUGUUAGCGGCGGACGGGUGAGUAACACGUGGAUAACCUACCUAUAAGACUGGGAUAACUUCGGGAAACCGUAGCUAAUACCGGAUAAUAUUUCGAACCGCAUGGUUCAAAAGUGAAAGACGGUCUUGCUGUCACUUAUAGAUGGAUCCGCGCUGCAUUAGCUAGUUGGUAAGGUAACGGCUUACCAAGGCAACGAUGCAUAGCCGACCUGAGAGGGUGAUCGGCCACACUGGAACUGAGACACGGUCCAGACUCCUACGGGAGGCAGCAGUAGGGAAUCUUCCGCAAUGGGCGAAAGCCUGACGGAGCAACGCCGCGUGAGUGAUGAAGGUCUUCGGAUCGUAAAACUCUGUUAUUAGGGAAGAACGUAUGUGUAAGUAACUGUGCACAUCUUGACGGUACCUAAUCAGAAAGCCACGGCUAACUACGUG
This 497-nucleotide ribosomal RNA is filed under the name uncultured bacterium. Its description in RNAcentral is "partial 16S ribosomal RNA". It matches the Rfam family "Bacterial small subunit ribosomal RNA", at positions 28 to 507 of the family's 1533-position model. The record is from RNAcentral.